CUGGCCUUAGCUUGGGGGAGCUUAAGGAUCUUGAUUUUGCCUUUGCUGAUUCAGUGGCAGCCAUGUAUGUUGGUACCAGUGGGGAGCUUGAAAAUGAGCUGUUUGAGUCUAUUCCACCUCCCAAUGAACGUUGCUUCUUGUGACCUCUGCAAAAUGGUGGAGGAUUAGAAAUUUGACUUCAGGAAGCAAAAGAACAGCUAUCAUCCCACCUUUGAUCGUUCGAAUCCAACUUCAAAAAUCAAUGAAAAAUGGAUGUAAAAGAAACUCAGAGGAAGACAAUGAAGAGACUUGUUAAGGAACAACAAAAAGUGGCCGUCUUUAGUAAUUCGACAAUGUGAUUCGUGGUUGAGUUUUAGUGAAUACACUCAUGUGCUUCAUAGAAGAGGAAUUAAUCUAGGAGAAUUGAAAGUGUUUUGAGGAAGAUGAAGUCUAUUUGAACACACUUGUGAUUGUAUGCUAACGAUGGACUGCAAGCAUUUCAAAGUGGCAAUGGCUUGGCGCCUAACAGCUCUUCCUCUAAUAAUUGCCUGUAGC
Long non-coding RNA from Benincasa hispida (wax gourd), 534 nucleotides. RefSeq lists it as uncharacterized. Lineage: Eukaryota; Viridiplantae; Streptophyta; Magnoliopsida; Cucurbitales; Cucurbitaceae. The record is from RefSeq and is a predicted model, not a curated record.